This 427-nucleotide ribosomal RNA is filed under the name uncultured bacterium. RNAcentral's name for it is "partial 16S ribosomal RNA". It matches the Rfam family "Bacterial small subunit ribosomal RNA", at positions 355 to 774 of the family's 1533-position model. The record is from RNAcentral.
UGGGGAAUAUUGCACAAUGGGCGCAAGCCUGAUGCAGCCAUGCCGCGUGUAUGAAGAAGGCCUUCGGGUUGUAAAGUACUUUCAGCGGGGAGGAAGGCGAUAAGGUUAAUAACCUUGUCGAUUGACGUUACCCGCAGAAGAAGCACCGGCUAACUCCGUGCCAGCAGCCGCGGUAAUACGGAGGGUGCAAGCGUUAACCGGAAUUACUGGGCGUAAAGCGCACGCAGGCGGUCUGUCAAGUCGGAUGUGAAAUCCCCGGGCUCAACCUGGGAACUGCAUUCGAAACUGGCAGGCUAGAGUCUUGUAGAGGGGGGUAGAAUUCCAGGUGUAGCGGUGAAAUGCGUAGAGAUCUGGAGGAAUACCGGUGGCGAAGGCGGCCCCCUGGACAAAGACUUACGCUCAGGUGCGAAAGCGUGGGGAGCAAACA